CAUAUCCUACGGGACGCAGCAGUAGGGAAUAUUGCUCAAUGGGGGAAACCCUGAAGCAGCAACGCCGCGUGGAGGAUGAAGGUUUUCGGAUUGUAAACUCCUUUUGUUAGAGAAGAUAAUGACGGUAUCUAACGAAUAAGCACCGGCUAACUCCGUGCCAGCAGCCGCGGUAAUACGGAGGGUGCGAGCGUUACUCGGAAUCACUGGGCGUAAAGAGCGCGUAGGCGGGAUAGCAAGUCAGAUGUGAGAUCCUAUGGCUUAACCAUAGAACUGCAUUUGAAACUGUUAUUCUAGAGUAUGGGUGG
This 305-nucleotide ribosomal RNA is filed under the name uncultured bacterium. RNAcentral's name for it is "bacterial SSU rRNA". It matches the Rfam family "Bacterial small subunit ribosomal RNA", at positions 333 to 655 of the family's 1533-position model. The record is from RNAcentral.